Molecule: ribosomal RNA, 497 nt
Filed under: uncultured bacterium
Lineage: Bacteria
Description: partial 16S ribosomal RNA
Rfam family: Bacterial small subunit ribosomal RNA
Source: RNAcentral
GAUGAACGCUGGCGGCGUGCCUAAUACAUGCAAGUCGAGCGAACGGACGAGAAGCUUGCUUCUCUGAUGUUAGCGGCGGACGGGUGAGUAACACGUGGAUAACCUACCUAUAAGACUGGGAUAACUUCGGGAAACCGGAGCUAAUACCGGAUGAUAUUUUGAACCGCAUGGUUCAAAAGUGAAAGACGGUCUUGCUGUCACUUAUAGAUGGAUCCGCGCUGCAUUAGCUAGUUGGUAAGGUAACGGCUUACCAAGGCAACGAUGCAUAGCCGACCUGAGAGGAUGAUCGGCCACACUGGAACUGAGACACGGUCCAGACUCCUACGGGAGGCAGCAGUAGGGAAUCUUCCGAAAUGGGCGAAAGCCUGACGGAGCAACGCCGCGUGAGUGAUGAAGGUCUUCGGAUCGUAAAACUCUGUUAUUAGGGAAGAACAUAUGUGUAAGUAACUGUGCACAUCUUGACGGUACCUAAUCAGAAAGCCACGGCUAACUACGUG